CUGACGAUUCACUCAGGAUAGCUUGCACUCACUCGCAAGAACUGUUUAAUCCGGUUAAGCGAAUGAUUAGAGGUACUGCGUUCGAAACGAGCUCAACCUAUCCUCAAACUUGAAAUGGGUAAGAUGCCCGGCUCGAUUUAUAGGAGUCGGGCGCUGAAUGUGCGAGUGCCAAGUGGGUCAUUUUUGGUAAGCAGAAUUGGCGCUGAGGGAUGAACCAAACGCCCGGUUAAGAUGACUUACGCUAACGUUCAUGAGAUACCACAAAAGGUGUUGGUUAAUAAAGGCAGCAGGACGGUGGCCACGGAAGUCGGCAUCCGCUAAGGAGGGGGUAUCAACUCACCUGCUGAAUUGACCAGCCCCCUAUAAUGCGAAUUGUGGCCGUAGGCUUGCCUAUGGCCACGUCUGGCCGAGGGUCGG
RNAcentral lists this non-coding RNA (417 nucleotides) under Schistocephalus solidus. RNAcentral describes it as "Eukaryotic large subunit ribosomal RNA". It matches the Rfam family "Eukaryotic large subunit ribosomal RNA", at positions 961 to 1362 of the family's 3401-position model. Lineage: Eukaryota; Metazoa; Platyhelminthes; Cestoda; Diphyllobothriidea; Diphyllobothriidae. The record is from Rfam by way of RNAcentral.